Molecule: ribosomal RNA, 494 nt
Filed under: uncultured bacterium
Lineage: Bacteria
Description: partial 16S ribosomal RNA
Rfam family: Bacterial small subunit ribosomal RNA
Source: RNAcentral
GACGAACGCUGGCGGCGUGCUUAACACAUGCAAGUCGAACGGUGAAGCGCCUUCCUUUUUGGUGGGUGUGGAUGAGUGGCGAACGGGUGAGUAACACGUGAGUAACCUGCCCCCUUCUUCUGGAUAACCGCAUGAAAGUGUGGCUAAUACGGGAUAUUCUGGGUCUGUCGCAUGAUGGGUCUGGGAAAGAUAUUGUUUCGGUGGGGGAUGGGCUCGCGGCCUAUCAGCUUGUUGGUGGGGUGAUGGCCCACCAAGGCGGUGACGGGUAGCCGGCCUGAGAGGGUGGACGGUCACACUGGGACUGAGACACGGCCCAGACUCCUACGGGAGGCAGCAGUGGGGAAUAUUGCACAAUGGGCGCAAGCCUGAUGCAGCGACGCCGCGUGAGGGAUGGAGGCCUGCGGGUUGUGAACCUCUUUCGCCAGUGAAGCAGGCCUGCCUCGUUUGUGGGUGGGUUGACGGUAGCUGGAGAAGAAGCGCCGGCUAACUACGUG